GGAUCAUUACACAAAUAUGAAGGCGGGCUGGAACCUCUCGGGGUUACAGCCUUGCUGAAUUAUUCACCCUUGUCUUUUGCGUACUUCUUGUUUCCUUGGUGGGUUCGCCCACCACUAGGACAAACAUAAACCUUUUGUAAUUGCAAUCAGCGUCAGUAACAAAUUAAUAAUUACAACUUUCAACAACGGAUCUCUUGGUUCUGGCAUCGAUGAAGAACGCAGCGAAAUGCGAUAAGUAGUGUGAAUUGCAGAAUUCAGUGAAUCAUCGAAUCUUUGAACGCACAUUGCGCCCUUUGGUAUUCCAAAGGGCAUGCCUGUUCGAGCGUCAUUUGUACCCUCAAGCUUUGCUUGGUGUUGGGCGUCUUGUCUCUAGCUUUGCUGGAGACUCGCCUUAAAGUAAUUGGCAGCCGGCCUACUGGUUUCGGAGCGCAGCACAAGUCGCACUCUCUAUCAGCAAAGGUCUAGCAUCCAUUAAGCCUUUUUUUCAACUUUUGACCUCGGAUCAGGUAGGGAUACCCGCUGAACUUAAGCAUAUCAAUAAGCGGAGGAAAAGAAACCAACAGGGAUUGCCCUAGUAACGGCGAGUGAAGCGGCAACAGCUCAAAUUUGAAAUCUGGCUCUUUUAGAGUCCGAGUUGUAAUUUGCAGAGGGCGCUUUGGCUUUGGCAGCGGUCCAAGUUCCUUGGAACAGGACGUCACAGAGGGUGAGAAUCCCGUACGUGGUCGCUGGCUAUUGCCGUGUAAAGCCCCUUCGACGAGUCGAGUUGUUUGGGAAUGCAGCUCUAAAUGGGAGGUACAUUUCUUCUAAAGCUAAAUAUUGGCCAGAGACCGAUAGCGCACAAGUAGAGUGAUCGAAAGAUGAAAAGCACUUUGGAAAGAGAGUCAAACAGCACGUGAAAUUGUUGAAAGGGAAGCGCUUGCAGCCAGACUUGCUUACAGUUGCUCAUCCGGGUUUCUACCCGGUGCACUCUUCUGUAGGCAGGCCAGCAUCAGUUUGGGCGGUAGGAUAAAGGUCUCUGUCACGUACCUCCUUUCGGGGAGGCCAAAUAGGGGAGACGACAUACUACCAGCCUGGACUGAGGUCCGCGCAUCUGCUA
RNAcentral lists this ribosomal RNA (1096 nucleotides) under Alternaria alternata. RNAcentral's name for it is "eukaryotic LSU rRNA". The stretch from base 493 to 1096 matches the Rfam family "Eukaryotic large subunit ribosomal RNA", at positions 1 to 608 of the family's 3401-position model. The record is from RNAcentral. Lineage: Eukaryota; Fungi; Ascomycota; Dothideomycetes; Pleosporales; Pleosporaceae.